RNAcentral lists this ribosomal RNA (76 nucleotides) under Halorubrum sp. JWXQ-INN 858. Its description in RNAcentral is "Archaeal small subunit ribosomal RNA". It matches the Rfam family "Archaeal small subunit ribosomal RNA", at positions 1 to 78 of the family's 1478-position model. The record is from Rfam by way of RNAcentral. Lineage: Archaea; Methanobacteriati; Methanobacteriota; Halobacteria; Halobacteriales; Haloferacaceae.
AUUCCGGUUGAUCCUGCCGGAGGCCAUUGCUAUUGGGAUCCGAUUUAGCCAUGCUAGUUGUACGAGUUCAUACUCG